CACUGACUCUUGUCCUCCUGUUCCCUGCCUGUGUGCAGUUUAGGAAGCGCUCAAUGCGACUCCACGCUCCACCGGUGUGAAAUAUGGUUUGCUGCUUGCCGGUUAAAGCCGCCCGUACUUGUCUUCUGUUCUGCGCAUCGUAGUGUUGCAAACAUGUCGAGCAGGCCUCUCUUAGACGACGCACACCUCUCACGUGGCGUGGGUAUCCGGUUUGUGUCGCUUGUCGUACCUGUGACUGCCACCAUGUUGGCCGUGGUGUGGAGCCUCUCAUGCCUCUCGCCUAUCUACGUGAACAGCCAGGUGCCGCCUCUGCCGGUGGUGGUAAACGAGAAUGACGCGGCCACUGCGGGCGAGAAGUUUGUGUACUCACUGGUGGCGGCCCUGAUCGUCGUUGGGUGCGUCGUGGCCGCAACUUUUGCAACUGUGCUGCUCUAUCACUUCCAUCUCCAGUUUGUAUUGUAUGGCUGGCUGGCGUUUUCGGCAGUGUCGAUGUUUUUUAUGCUGCUGUGGAUUUGGCUGGACUUGUUCUGCACAUAUUUCCAAAUCCCUUACAACGUCAUUUCGAUGGGCAUCUUUGUGUGGAACUUCGGCGUGGUGGGCCUCAUCGCCCUCUUUUACUACUCUCACCCUACUGUGACGCAGGUGUAUUUGGUCAUCGCCUCCAUCUUGACUGCGUGGUCGCUGACGGCGCUGCCGGAAUGGUCGACGUGGUCGUUGCUGAUCUGCAUCGCCACGUACGACAUUCUUGCAGUUCUCUGGCAGCAGGGGCCACUGCAUCGGCUAAUCAAGAUAGCUCAGGAACGCGACGAGCCGAUACCCGGAUUCGUCUACAGCAGUGCACACAGCAUUGUUCCGAUUACGCAGCCUGCAACAGCGAGCUCGGCGCGUGUGCCGGCAACGGCAGCCGAGUCCUUCAUGUGGACGGUGCAGCACGCCACUCCAUUCAAGCUGGGCCUUGGCGACUUUAUCUUUUACAGCCUUCUUGUUGGCCGUGCCUCAUUUUCUGGCUUUGUGUCGUGGAGUUUCUGUAUGGUGAGCAUCCUGGCGGGUAUGCUGGGCACGCUGCUGUCCUUGCUGCUUUUCCGCAACUCGCUGCGCGCGCUGCCAGCUCUGCCGUGCUCCAUUUUUCUCUCUACUGUCGUCUUUGUGCUCUGCAGGCUAAUUGUGGAGUCGCUGAGCUCCUUCACGAGUCAUCACCUGUUGGUGCUGUAAUUCACCCGUGUUGCCUCCUCUCUUUUUUGGCUUGCUCUCCACUGCGUACUCGCCGUGCGUGCGUGUACGGGUGUGCUUGAUUUUCCUUGGCUGCCGUCACGCACUCCGCUAGGGAAAGCAUCGCACACAACUUCACCGACCUCCACGACUAGCACGAGACGAUCCAUUAUGGACUUUCAGGAAGCGAGGAAGAGGGAGACGUAUCGUGGCAAACGUGCUGUGCUGACGCGGCAUUUUUGCCCUUGCCACGGUGCGGCGAAGCGGAUGCUGCUCUCUCGGAUGAGUACUCCGUUGCUCGUGCCUACGGGCCUCGCAAGCAUCACUAUUAUGGGCGUUGUAUUCUCACUUACUCCUUCGGCUUCUUUUAUCCCAGUCAAAUGUGACACACGGACACGAUUUCCGACUCUGCAUCCUCUCGUCGUGCGAUAAUCUUUCCAUUGAUGUCUUCUAUCUUCUACCGCUUUUACACGCUCUAUCUAUAUGUGUGCGUACCGACUCCUCUUGCCACAAG
This 1723-nucleotide unclassified non-coding RNA is filed under the name Leishmania donovani. RNAcentral describes it as "gene:unknown". Lineage: Eukaryota; Euglenozoa; Kinetoplastea; Trypanosomatida; Trypanosomatidae. The record is from RNAcentral.